GGAGUGUUGGCUCAGUGGGUAAGAGCACUGGCUGCUCUUCCAGAGGUGCUGGGUUCAAUUCCCAGCACCCA
RNAcentral lists this transfer RNA (71 nucleotides) under Neotoma lepida (desert woodrat). It matches the Rfam family "tRNA". Rfam says of the family: Transfer RNA (tRNA) molecules are approximately 80 nucleotides in length. Their secondary structure includes four short double-helical elements and three loops (D, anti-codon, and T loops). Lineage: Eukaryota; Metazoa; Chordata; Mammalia; Rodentia; Cricetidae. The record is from Rfam by way of RNAcentral.